UAUCAAAUGGAAUAGACUUGAUGAUGCCAAUGGUUUUAAGCUUGAGUUCUUUUUUGAGACAAAUCCCUAUUUCAGCAACAAUGUGCUGACAAAGACGUAUCACAUGAUCAGCGAAGAUGAACAUAUUCUAGAGAAUGCAAUAGGGACAGAGAUAGAAUGGUUUCUGGGGAAAUGUUUGACACAGAAGAUCCUAAAGAAGAAGCCAAAGAAAGGAUCCAACGAUACGAAGCUAAUCAUAAAAACUGAGGAAUGUGAAAGUUUCUUUCAUUUUUUUGAUCCACCUCAACUACCUGAGGAUGCAGAAGAACUUGAUGAGGAAACUGCUGAAUUGCUUCAAGGUCAGAUGGAACAAGAUUAUGAGAUUGGGUCCACCAUUCGAGAAAAGAUUAUUCCUCAUGCUGUGUCUUGGUUUACUGGAGAGGCCGUUCCCAUUGAUGACGACGAAGAAGAAGGUGAUGAUGACGAGGAAGAGGAAGAUUAUGUGGAAGAGAAUGAUGAAGAAGAGGAUGAUGAGAAUGAGGAUGAGAAAGGCAAUGAAGAAAAUGUUAAAGAAAAGCAUUAAGGAUGGCAGUGAAGAAACUAGAGGACAGUAAGAGGUCUCAGACGCUGAAUUGAACCUCUGUUGUGAUUGUAUUGCGGAAACCAUUUGCUAAAUUUAUAGA
Molecule: unclassified non-coding RNA, 662 nt
Filed under: Hevea brasiliensis (rubber tree)
Lineage: Eukaryota; Viridiplantae; Streptophyta; Magnoliopsida; Malpighiales; Euphorbiaceae
Source: RNAcentral